GACGAACCGUGCGAACGUUGUUCGGAAUCAUUGGGCUUAAAGUGCGCGUAGGCGGGCUUCCGAGUUCGGGGUGAAAUCCGCCAGCUCAACUGGAGAACUGCCCCGGAUACUAGAGGUCUCGAGGGGGGUAGGGGCAUGCGGAACUGUGGGUGGAGCGGUGAAAUGCGUUGAUAUCCACAGGAACACCGGUGGCGAAGGCGGCGUGCUGGACCCUUUCUGACGCUGAGGCGCGAAAGCCAGGGGAGCAAACGGG
RNAcentral lists this ribosomal RNA (253 nucleotides) under uncultured bacterium. Its description in RNAcentral is "partial 16S ribosomal RNA". It matches the Rfam family "Bacterial small subunit ribosomal RNA", at positions 524 to 776 of the family's 1533-position model. The record is from RNAcentral.